GGCGGACGGGUGAGUAACGCGUAGGAAUCUACCUAAUGGUGGGGGAUAGCCCAGGGAAACUUGGAUUAAUUCCGCAUAAGUCCUAAGGGAGAAAGCGGGGGAUCUUCGGACCUCGUGCCAUUAGAUGAGCCUGCGUAAGAUUAGCUAGUUGGUGAGGUAAGAGCUCACCAAGGCGACGAUCUUUAGCUGGUCUGAGAGGAUGAUCAGCCACACUGGGACUGAGACACGGCCCAGACUCCUACGGGAGGCAGCAGUGGGGAAUAUUGGACAAUGGGGGCAACCCUGAUCCAGCCAUGCCGCGUGUGUGAAGAAGGCCUUCGGGUUGUAAAGCACUUUCAGCAGUGAGGAAAGGUUACAGAUUAAUACUCUGUAGCUGUGACGUUAACUGCAGAAGAAGGACCGGCUAACUCCGUGCCAGCAGCCGCGGUAAUACGGAGGGUCCGAGCGUUAAUCGGAAUUACUGGGCGUAAAGCGCGC
RNAcentral lists this ribosomal RNA (477 nucleotides) under uncultured Oceanospirillales bacterium. RNAcentral describes it as "bacterial SSU rRNA". It matches the Rfam family "Bacterial small subunit ribosomal RNA", at positions 97 to 570 of the family's 1533-position model. The record is from RNAcentral. Lineage: Bacteria; Pseudomonadati; Pseudomonadota; Gammaproteobacteria; Oceanospirillales.